This 815-nucleotide long non-coding RNA is filed under the name Rosa chinensis. Its description in RNAcentral is "sRNA RchiOBHm_Chr1g0351391". Lineage: Eukaryota; Viridiplantae; Streptophyta; Magnoliopsida; Rosales; Rosaceae. The record is from RNAcentral.
CGUUAGCAACUAACGGCAGCACCCGGUCGUUGACUAACCUGAUCUCGGAUUCGGUCCUGUUGACCCCGCCGAAAUACGCCUGGUGCAAUAUCAGCCCUCGGAUUUUGAUCGGGGAGAGGUCCAUAUCGGAAGCGCGUAGACCCGCGUGGUAGGCGAUAUUGGAUCCCGCGCUAGUUCCCAUGAUGAAACACUUGGAGAAAUCAACGGAGUUUUUCAGCCACGAAUCUCCGUCGGCAGAGGAGGCCUGGUUUUUGAGCCAGGUGAUGGCCGAAACGGCGUCGUCGUAGGCGGCGGGGAGGCGGUGCUCGGGGGCGAGACGGUACUCGACGGAGAGGACUAGGGCUGGGAUGGAGAGGGCGAGACGAGAGCAGCAGUGGUGGAAAGGCUGAGAGGCGGCGCUCCAGAUGAUGAAGCCGCCGCCGUGGAUGUAGAUGAGGAGAGGGAGGUUAGGGUUUGGGUUUGGGUUUGGGGGGAGAUUGAGGGGUUUGAAGAGGCGAAGGGAGGUUUGGGAUUUUGGGUCGAGAGGGAUGUCCUUGGAGAGGACGAGUUGGGAUGAGUUGGGAUCAGAAUAGGCAGGGAUUGACUCGGUUGUGGGUGCGAUUGGGAGUGGGGCGAGGCGGGUGAGUGAGCCAUCUGGGUUGGGAACGAUUUUGAGGAACUUGUAGGGUUCGAUUGAGGAUUGUUGAUCUGCCAUUGUUGGGGGUGACUGGUGAGAGUGCGUUUGUGAAAGAGAAGGGUUUGUGUACCGUGGAGAUCGAAGAUUAAAAUGAGGGUUGAUGAUGGUGGUUGGGGAAAUUUUUGAGGAGCGGGGUAGG